CAGCAGCCACGGUAAUGCGUAGGGUGCGAGCGUUAAUCGGAAUUACUGGGCGUAAAGCGUGCGCAGGCGGUUGUGUAAGACAGGUGUGAAAUCCCCGGGCUUAACCUGGGAACUGCGCUUGUGACUGCACAGCUAGAGUAUGGCAGAGGGGGGUGGAAUUCCACGUGUAGCGGUGAAAUGCGUAGAGAUGUGGAGGAACACCGAUGGCGAAGGCAGCCCCCUGGGCCAAUACUGACGCUCAUGCGCGAAAGCGUGGGGAGCAAACAGGAUUAGAUACCCCCGUAGUCCCUGUCUCUUAUAC
Molecule: ribosomal RNA, 301 nt
Filed under: uncultured bacterium
Lineage: Bacteria
Description: partial 16S ribosomal RNA
Rfam family: Bacterial small subunit ribosomal RNA
Source: RNAcentral